CCCACCCUUGGGGCCCCAGGGACAUGGUGCUGGCCACUUCUGAGAGUGGCGCGGGGCCUGCAGCACCAACGGGGGCAAUCCUGUGGGCCAGAUCCAAAGCCCUGAGGGACCGGAUCCGGCCCAUAGUUUGCCUACCCCUGCUCUAGUUCCUAUUGCGUAAGUCAAAGAUUCAGCUUAGGGUGCAUUUUAAUUGUGUUAGAGAAUAAUUUAAUAGCAAUAACUUGAGAAAUAUUCACACUUAGAGAACUGAGCCUGGACGCUCUUUGCAGCAGACUAUGUGCAUUUCCCGUUGUAGCAUUGAGCACAUUUUUGGGACUUAAAUAAUAAAUCCUCCUCCGCUGUAGGCUGCAGCUCAUUAGGGAAUAGCAUGUCAAAUACCAGUAAGCAGGUCCAACACUCCAUUGGUUAGAGGGCAGCAGUGCACAUACUGAGACAGGCAAGAGUUAAUGUCAUAUAGGUAAAGUGAAAGUAAGCCACUGGAUGAGAAGAUAAAGGACUGAAAGAUAUUCCUCAGAUGGUGGAGAAACAGAAUAUCCUCCUGGGGAGAUGCUCUCGUAGUUGAUGCUAUUAACAAUGUGUUACUUAAAAUUCUUUCAACUUUCUACCCAAGACAAAAAUAUCAGCAUUUUAUGUUAUUUAUUCCCCCCCCCCAUAUUGAUUUUUCUCAUUGCGUAACUUCCUUCAACAAGACAUCUCAAAAACCAGUGCUUUUCUUGGACAAAGACAAAAAAAAUGAGCAUCAAAUCAGACCUUUCGUUUGCCUCUAUAGUUAAUCCAAUCUCCUUUGAGUUUAUGACUGUUUUAGUGGAGCACUUUUCAAAUUAAUUUAGGCUCACAUGUUUUUCCCCUCCUACAUCCCCCAGUCAGCAGGAACUUUUUUGGCUGGUGUUAUAUAAAGUUAUGUCAAUGUGGACAUUCUGUUUUAUCUGAAGGUGCUGAGGUUCAUGGCAAUUCUGAUGUCUUCCAGGAACAGCUUCCACAGUAAUGGGGUAGUUGCUGAGUAAGCUGUCUCCAACACUCAGACUCAUCCUUGAUAUAAACAAUUUAAUUGUUCCAGGGAAACACAGCUGUUGUGAGAUAUGAUGAUCACAGAGCAUGACAUGAUCUUUCAGAUUGACUUCACCGACGAAAUUAUGCCCUGCUGUCUAGUUGUCCUCUUUGCUUAUAUGACUUACAAUGGCCUCUCUUACCAGCAAUGUGAUAUGGAUACAACUCACAGUUCAGCUGCAUUGCCCACCAAACCCUCAUAUUAUAGUACUUAAACUAAGGCCUUGUCUUCACUGCUAAAAAAGGUAUGUGUUUUUUACCUCAGGGUAACUAACAUGAAUGAGCUAUCCAGAGGUAAAAAACACAGUAAAGACCAGACACUUCAGUUUUACCAUGAGGUAAAUUUGAUGAGAUCAACCUAUGGAGGAAAUAUGGAGCUGUUCACUUUACGAUAAAACUGAAGUGGCCAGGUCUUCGCAGUGUUUUAUCUCAGGACAGCUCAUCUGUGUUGGUUACCAUUAAGUUUAAAAAAAAAAAAAAAAAAAAACAAACACACACAUGAAAACACACACCUUUUUAGUGGUGAAGACAAGGCCUAAGUUGCAGCCUGCCUGUGAUUGCCCCCGACAGCUUGAUUCCUUUUUAUAUGCCUAUUCUUGUACUGAACUUAACAUUGUAGUAUCUCAGACCAAUCCAAGGAGGGGAAAAAAAAAAAAAAAAAGUGACAAACUCAUGUAUGGUCGCUUCUCUUAACUGUAAAUUACAUUUGUUUUUAUAAAACGCUGGUUUGCUAUGUGCUACUGUUUGUGGAGACUAAGUUGAAGUUAGUUUCCUUACUUGAUCAACUAGCUAGUUCACAACAUUCUAUUGCCAAAUUACUAGGUAAUAAACAUUUUGUCCAAUUUUUUGACAGAGUGCUAGCUGUAGCAUCCUGGAUGUGCUAAUAAUAAUCAUCAACAACAAACAACACAGGACUUAAGCUAUUUCUGUCAAAAGUGUUUUGUUGGGAGCAACUCUUUCCCAUUAAGUAGAAUCACUUUUCUCUAUGUUACCAAGCCUUUGGUAGACAUUCCAGACAGAAGUCAUGCAUACAAAAUAC
Molecule: long non-coding RNA, 2086 nt
Organism: Dermochelys coriacea (leatherback sea turtle)
Lineage: Eukaryota; Metazoa; Chordata; Testudines; Dermochelyidae
Exons: 2
Source: RefSeq, a predicted model, not a curated record